Molecule: long non-coding RNA, 2078 nt
Organism: Ictalurus punctatus (channel catfish)
Lineage: Eukaryota; Metazoa; Chordata; Actinopteri; Siluriformes; Ictaluridae
Source: Ensembl
GCCAGUAUGAUAUCUGAAAGAGCUUUAACGGCAGUUUAACCGGUUCUGUUGUCCCACUUGAGCGAGGCCCCCUACUGAAAAGGCUGCUUCCUUCCUGCAACGUGGAGAGCUAUAACUCACCAGUGCCGGUUAGUGCUAUAGGGCAGGUCAUGGCAUGUGGGCAUAGCUGCGGUCUGUGUGCUCUGUAUUGAGGCAAGGCUAGUUGAACCAGUCUGUCCGUCCAUUGCUGGGAACCAGGAGUGAGUUAUGUGUAAGUGUGUGUGUGUGUGUGUGUGUGUGUGAUGAUAGAUUUGGAGGGCACCAUAUGCUGUGCGAACAUAUUUUGUUGUUUUUGUCACUUCCUCUCUGCAGGAUAACAGUUCUUUUUUGUUGAGGUUGUAAAGGAGUAACACCUAAUGCUAAGGUGUGUGGUGAAUGUGGAAAGGUGUGAGGGUUUCAUUUAGGCAGUUUUUUUGAUCAAUUUUGUGUAUGAUGUGUUUGUUCUGGUGAAAGUUGUUUGCUCUGGCUUAAGCCUUUUGUGUCGCUGUGACAAUCUUGCAAGAGGUGCAAAGGCUUGUUCUCACCUUCGCAGCGAUGUAUCUGGCGGCACAAAUCUUGAUGUUCAGUUACCUGUAAAUGGUCCACGUGGAGAGCUCCACAAAGCAGCGUAGCGUUUGACCACACCAUGUGCGGCCCCUUAGGAAUGCAAGCAUCUUGGAGUGCAAGCCGCAACAGGUUUAACCCACAUCGCCCUGUCAUCUGUGAGUGGGCAGUAAGAACCAGAAGGUCACUCUGAUGGAACUACAGAGGUCCUGCACAAGUGGACAAAUCCUAAAUUUUCUAGCGAUGCCAGAGAAAAAAUGAAAGCUCCAGUGUGCACAGAAAUGGACUAAUCUAAAGAGUGGUAGCUAAGGGUCACAGGGAGCCUGGAGCCUAUCCCAGUGGACUUGGGGCACAAGGCAGGGGGACACCCUGGAUGUCAGGUGUGUCAGGAUGUCAGGUGCCAACCCAUUGUAGGGCACAAUCUCACACACACUACAGACAAUUUGGAAAUCAAUCUUUGGACUGGCGGAGGAAACCCGAGUACUCAGAGAAAACCCCCAAUGCACAAGGAGAACAUGCAAAGUCUGCGCACACAGGGCGGAGGUGGGAUUCGAACCCCAAUCCUGAAGGUGCGAGGCAAAUGUGCUAACCACUAAGCCAUGAUUAUUAUCCAUUUAAGUUUCUAAAGUAGCACAUUGUAUGUGUACUGUACCGUUAAUAAACAGUCAACUAAUCUUUUGCGAAUGUUCUGUGGCUCCAUACAAGUUUGAACUCUUUAGCAUGAAUGCCAAGUGCUACAUCAACAGAUCAUAACACAUAGGCAUCUUUGUAGAAAAAAAAAGUGAUCAGAACCUCACACAUGGUCGAAAGUUAACCUUUAGACAACAGAAACACACAGAGAAGACACGACUAUGAUCAUCCUUGAGUGGUCUAGACGGAGCUUGGUUUUUACCCAGUUGAAUGUUUCUGGAAAGACCUGGAGGUUCCUCUAAACAGACUGGAGGAAUAUCCUUGAAUUCAGGUGUGCCAAGCUCAUAGCAUCAGACUCAAAAAGACUGUAAUUACUGCCAAUACUGCUUUAACAAUGCAUUGAGUAAAGGGUCUGAAUAUUUGUUUCAAAUAUAUCUUUCACAGAUUCAGAAGGAAAAAAAAUGAAUGCAGUACAUUUCAGAGAAAAGAGUAAUGUAGGUGGAUACACCGUGCAUGUGUGUACAGUACCCUACAGCUGCAGAAGCACUUAACUUGCACUGCUGAUGAAGGACUUUUGUCUGAAACAUCUUGAUUCUCUGGUAACCUUGAGUACUUCAUUGAACUUUUACUACUUAUACCAUGUACUAACAAGGCUAUUUAAGGUCUUUGCUAUGGCUCUGUUGCUUUUCCUACUUGAGUUGUAUUUAGUAAUGUUGACCCUGAGUGUCUCAACAUGUUUUCCUGAUAAAUUAUUUUUUUUUUAAACAAAAUGUCUUUAUUUAUGCUAAUGAAUGCACACUGUUUUGUUCAUAUUCAUAAAUACGAGUGUGUGUAAAUCUGAAGUGGAUAUAUGCACUGGAGGUAUA